Molecule: non-coding RNA, 3518 nt
Organism: Peromyscus maniculatus bairdii (prairie deer mouse)
Lineage: Eukaryota; Metazoa; Chordata; Mammalia; Rodentia; Cricetidae
Source: RefSeq, a predicted model, not a curated record
UCUUCUUAUGGUCUGCUCUGACCCAGCCUGCAGGAGCUCUUCACACCAGCUGCAGCCCCCAGCAUAAAUCAAGUCCGGGUUCCCGCCCAUGGGUUAUUGACUGAGUCCCAGCUGUCUUCCGGUGGCUCCCGGCAUGUGGCUAUAUUAAGAAGGUGAACCGUAACAUUAACACUUUUUUUUUAAGGCCCAAAAGAAAGAAAGACCCUGAAGAAACCAACACUGGAUCCAACCAAGGGUCAUAAAUCAAUGUCAGUAAAUUUAUAAACAGAUCAUGAAUUUGGCAACCACUCAGUGGUUUCAGGGGGGACAGAGACAGACCAACCAUUCAGUGCUGACAUCCUGGUGAUCACUGUGUGAGGGUAAGAGAAUCAUCAACUUCGGUGGGUGACAGGUGAGCCGAGCCCUGAGUUUGAACUGAAAUAUUGAAAACAUUUUCCCCAAAAGACUGUGACUAUUUCUUUAGGUUGCUAUGUUUAUUUUUUCUAAGUAUCCUACUCUUUGGAGCUCCAGUGAGUACCAUGAAACAGAGAACAGGAUUCUUCAAACACGGUCUCCCUCACAAUUGGAUGGUGCCCCAACCUGUGCUCAAGUCCACCGAGAGUUCAGGGGCCCACCUAUCCCACAUACGGGUCCUUGUGGUGGGGAUCGGCCUGGGAUUUCCUCACUGUUCUCCUCAGCAGCUCUAAUUCUUGGCGCUUCGGCACUGGCCUAGCCUAGGAGCCGUGGGGUGUGCCUGCCUCAGCACACAACUGAGAAGCUCACCGGUAAAGGCCAAAUAUGUCAGGUGCGGGCCCCUACCCUCAGCCCCUCGGCCACAUACUGCACAACUGUACUUUACAAAGUCAAGACCCACAGGCCCUUCCAGAGUGGUGCAUAAUAACAUUAGCCACACAGAUCUAGUACUUUCUAGAAGUUUCUCUCCCCUCAAUUCCGGAACACAUUUCUGAGUACGCACAUGCUGUUCUUUCAGCGAGCCUUUUAAAAACCGCACUGGCUCACUCUGGGGGUUCAUCUUCCUUCUGAGCUUGACAGAAUUUAGAGUCGCCUAGAAGACACACUUCUGGGGGUGUCUGAGGGUAUUUCCUGAGGAAGGAAGACCCGCACUAAUGUGAGUGCCACCAUCCAAUGGCCCUGGGUCCCAGAGCAAUAACAAGGGGACAGUGAUCUGGUGCCGGGACUCAUCUCUCUGCUUCCUGACUUCAGGGGCACUGUGACCAACUGCCUUGCCCUCCCACCAUGGCGUCUCUUCUGUGGUGGACCAUAUCCUUUCUAACUGUUUUCUUUUGUCGGUCGGUAUGUUGUCUCAGCAGCCAGAAAAGCAGCUACUAUACACAUUUCUGUAAAAGUCUCUCUAUUAUUCUGUAAUCUGUACCACUAGUUCCUGGGAGACCCUGGUCACUGCACCCUCUUCAGGAAGGAGGCUGCUGGGUUUGACAGUCACCUCGUUUGGGCAAAACUAUCCAUGGGGGAGGGGGAUCUCUCAGUCAACUGCGUCCUUCCAGGCCAGCACUAAACAGGGGUUUCAUUUCUUUGAAAACUAGGUAUUAAAUGUGUCAGGCAUAGGAAGUGAAAUGUAAUGAGGCCAGUUCCACACACAGUUCCAGGUGUGUAAAUCCCACUGAUGGAGAACAGAACAUAGCUGGAUCGGUACAAAUGGGGUCCUGGGUCUGGGGGAGGACAUGACACCCUUGGUGGGUCUUAGCUGCCAUUCUAACAGACACUCAGUCAAGACCGCUAAACCCAGAGGGGCCUGAAGUUCCUGGGGCAGGACUUGCUGGUUUUAAGCUGUAGUUGGUUUCGAACUCUCCGUCUUUGUUCCUUGGAGUUUUCAUGGGUGUGUUUGCUUGUGCCCUGACUCGCAGUAAACACUUGUGAUUUCUAUUUUGAGGUUAUGUUUCACUUGAACUGUGUUUGAGCCAAGUUCUCCGAGAAGGUAACUGGGGGGCUGGGUAAAGGAAACCACCAAGCCUACGUUAGGGAAAGAGGGUAGAGGCCCCAGCACUGAGACAGCAUUUCCAGCCUUUUUUCUUCUUUUAGGAUUUCUUUCUAGUUCUGUAUAUAUUGAGGGGAGGGGGGGGAUGGGUCUCAGGCCCAACUCCAGAACUACUGAAUCCAAAUCUGCAUUUUAACACAGCCCUAGGUGAUUUGUAGACACACUACAACAUGAGAGGCCCAGAUUAGGGAACAGGCAUUGGACAUGACGUUUUCUUUUACACAAAUUCAUCACCACACAUUAUCAUAAGAAUUGCAAGGAUUGGCUAAUACAGAGGCCCUCCUCCCUGGCUGGGAAUCAGAAUGAUGAAAGGAAGGUUUUUGCUUGCUUGCUUGUUUGUUUGUUUGUUUGUUUGUUUGUUUUAAUGGAUCUUUAUAUUUGUUUAGAGUUCCUGAACAGUUGUGCUAUGCUGGCUAAGGCUGAGGGGUUCUGGGCUAAAGUGUUGCAGGAAAUGACUGGAUUUCUGUGGGAGCAGGAGGAGGCCGUGGCUCUCUGGUCUCCUCCCUCAUCACAGGACAAGGACAACACAAAAAUGGAUCCCAUCAUCAUCCCAGGUCAUUUCAGUCAGGAAGCAUGAGGUACUGCUAGUGUGUGAAGUAAGCUAUUGAGGAAUAAGGAGAGUGGGAAGGCCAGUGCCCGUGGUGGUUCGUUCUGCUGGUCAAAGUGAACCUAGGAAGAGAGUUGAAGUGAGGGAGUACAUACAUCAGAUUGGUCUGUGAGCAUGCGUGGGGGGUUGUCUUCAUUAUAAGUUGACGGGGGAAGACCCAGUCCACUUUGGGCAGCACUAUUCCCUAGGCUGCCCUAAAAAAAGGGUCCCUGCACUACGUAGAGCAGGCUAGCUGGAUACUAGCCAUGCUUGCAUUUUACUGCUCUCUGGUUUGGUGGACAUGACGUGAAAACCGUGCUAUAACAGACUAUAAUCUGGAAUUAUAAGCUAAAAUAAAGCCUUUCUCUCUUAGGUUGCCUUUUUCUGGGUAUUUUAUCUCAGCAACAGAAACGAAACCAGGACAAUACCCAACAAGAAGUGACUGAUGCAGACCUGAGAGCUGGGAGUCAACGAGAGAGAAAGGACAGGCUGAACACAAUACGCACCCUAAAGGAGGAAAUUUGGGCUCCACGGUUUCAGUCCAUCACGGCAGGGAGGGCAAUUCUGCUCAUGGCUGCGGAAGUGUGUGGGGAUCAUUCACAUCAAGGCCAGGAAGGAAGCAGAGAACAAGGUCAGGACCACAGGAGAACAAAAUCGCGAGGACCCGCCCACAAGUCAGAGAUACUGACCUUCUCUGCCAGCCAGACCCCAGCUCCUGAAGGUAACACAGCUCCCGGAAUUUAGUUCCAGUAACUGGGGCACAAAACGUGAGCCUGGGCUGAGGAGGUCACUAACCCUCACCUUCAAAGUCUGAGGACCUAAGUGUGACCCCUAGACCAGUGUAGAAAAGCCAAGUGUGGUGGCAGACAUGGGGAGACAGAGACAAGAGGAUCCCCAUGGCCCUCUGAUCAAGUAGUCUACCAUGUCUUGAAAUCCAAG